GAAUGCCACAGAGGGUGAUAGCCCCGUACGGUGUUGACUCGAUACAGAGUCCUAACAUGGAGUCGAGUUGUUUGGGAAUGCAGCUCAAAUGGGUGGUAUGCUCCAUCUAAGGCUAAAUAUUUGCGAGAGACCGAUAGCGAACAAGUACUGUGAAGGAAAGAUGAAAAGAACUUUGAAAAGAGAGUGAAAUAGUACGUGAAAUUGUUGAAAUGGAAGGGUAGGCCGCUAACCAUGUAGGACCGUGUUUGGGGGGAAGAUAAAUGCUGUAGA
Molecule: ribosomal RNA, 270 nt
Filed under: uncultured Wickerhamiella
Lineage: Eukaryota; Fungi; Ascomycota; Dipodascomycetes; Dipodascales; Trichomonascaceae
Description: partial 26S ribosomal RNA
Rfam family: Eukaryotic large subunit ribosomal RNA
Source: RNAcentral